AAUUGACGGGACCGCACAAGCGGUGGAUGAUGUGGAUUAAUUCGAUGCAACGCGAAAACCUUACCUACCCUUGACAUGUCCGGAAUCCCGAAGAGAUUUGGGAGUGCUCGCAAGAGAGCCGGAACACAGGUGCUGCAUGGCUGUCGUCAGCUCGUGUCGUGAGAUGUUGGGUUAAGUCCCGCAACGAGCGCAACCCUUGUCAUUAGUUGCCAUCAUUUGGUUGGGCACUCUAAUGAGACUGCCGGUGACAAACCGGAGGAAGGUGGGGAUGACGUCAAGUCCUCAUGGCCCUUAUGGGUAGGGCUUCACACGUCAUACAAUGGUCGGUACAGAGGGUUGCCAACCCGCGAGGGGGAGCUAAUCCCACAAAGCCGAUCGUAGUCCGGAUCGCAGUCUGCAACUCGACUGCGUGAAGUCGGAAUCGCUAGUAAUCGUGGAUCAGCAUGUCACGGUGAAUACGUUCCCGGGUCUU
Molecule: ribosomal RNA, 472 nt
Filed under: uncultured Rhodocyclaceae bacterium
Lineage: Bacteria; Pseudomonadati; Pseudomonadota; Betaproteobacteria; Rhodocyclales; Rhodocyclaceae
Description: bacterial SSU rRNA
Rfam family: Bacterial small subunit ribosomal RNA
Source: RNAcentral